UAUGGUCAUAUCAUAUUGAAACACUAGUUCCUGUAUGAUCACUGAAGUUAAGCAAUGUCAAGCCUGGUAAGUACCUAAAUGGGUGAUCACUUGAGGAAUACCAGGUGCUGUAAU
This is a non-coding RNA of Acanthosepion pharaonis, 114 nucleotides long. Lineage: Eukaryota; Metazoa; Mollusca; Cephalopoda; Sepiida; Sepiidae. The record is from the annotation of a GenBank genome assembly.